RNAcentral lists this unclassified non-coding RNA (146 nucleotides) under soil metagenome. RNAcentral describes it as "partial internal transcribed spacer 1". The record is from RNAcentral.
CCGAGUUUACAACUCCCAAACCCCUGUGAACAUACCACUUGUUGCCUCGGCGGAUCAGCCCGCUCCCGGUAAAACGGGACGGCCCGCCAGAGGACCCCUAAACUCUGUUUCUAUAUGUAACUUCUGAGUAAACCGUAAAUAAAUCA